This 280-nucleotide long non-coding RNA is filed under the name Ananas comosus (pineapple). RNAcentral's name for it is "long non-coding RNA (ACOM_LNC013393)". The record is from RNAcentral. Lineage: Eukaryota; Viridiplantae; Streptophyta; Magnoliopsida; Poales; Bromeliaceae.
GAGCCGGAAGAGGAGAUACGGAGUAAGUAUCCUCAGCUCUUUCCAGAUUCUGUUAAGUAAAUUUCGGGAACGAAAUUUCUUUUAAGGGGGGUAAGAUGUAAUACCCGUAUCUAAUUAAUUUAAAUUAGAAUUUAAAUAUGUGGCCAUGAUUGUAGUUUUGUGAUAAAUCCGUUAUUAAAUAUUUUUGAUUUAUUUGUACCGUCGGAUUAAGCAGAUUUGGUUGGAUUUGAUUUUCAGAUUAAUUAUACUCUAAUACUAGUUAGAGUAGGAUUGAGAUUUA